CUCAGAACGAACGCUGGCGGCAGGCUUCAUACAUGCAAGUCGUACGAUUAAAGCUCCUUCGGGAGUAUAUAAAGUGGCGAACGGGUGAGUAACAGGUGGAUAACCUACCUCUCGGCGGGGGACAACAGUUGGAAACGACUGCUAAUACCGCAUACGUCAGGCUAUAGGUCCAGAUGAGGAAAGGCGCUUUCAAGCGUCGCCGAGAGAUGGAUCCGCCCCGCAUUAGCUAGUUGGUGAGAUAAUAGCUCACCAAGGCUACGAUGCGUAGCCGGACUGAGAGGUUGGCCGGCCACACUGGGACUGAGACACGGCCCAGACACCUACGGGUGGCAGCAGUAGGGAAUAUUGGACAAUGGGCGCAAGCCUGAUCCAGCCAUGCCGCGUGGAUGACGAAGGCCUUCGGGUCGUAAAGUCCUUUUAUAAGGGAAGAACAUCCCGGGUAGGAAAUGACCCGGGCCCGACGGUACCUUAUGAAUAAGCAUCGGCUAACUACGUGCCAGCAGCCGCGGUCAUACGUAGGUUGCAAGCGUUGUUCGGAAUUACUGGGCGUAAAGGGGGCGCAGGCGGCUUGGUCAGUCUGGAGUGAAAGCCCGGGGCUCAACCCCGGAAGUGCUUCAGAUACUGCCUUGCUUGAGUACGUGAGAGGAGAGCGGAAUUCCAGGUGUAGCGGUGAAAUGCGUAGAUAUCUGGAGGAACACCAGUGGCGAAAGCGGCUCUCUGGCGCGAUACUGACGCUGAGGCUCGAAAGCGUGGGGAGCGAACGGGAUUAGAUACCCCGGUAGUCCACGCCGUAAACGUUGUGCACUAGGUGUGGGAGGUGUCGACCCCUUCCGUGCCGCAGCUAACGCAUUAAGUGCACCGCCUGGGGAGUACGGUCGCAAGACUGAAACUCAAAGGAAUUGACGGGGGCCCGCACAAGCGGUGGAGCAUGUGGUUUAAUUCGAGGCCACGCGAAGAACCUUACCCAGGCUUGACAAUCCCGUGACAUCCAUGGAAACAUGGCUUUCUCUUCGGAGACACGGUGACAGGUGUUGCAUGGCUGUCGUCAGCUCGUGUCGUGAGGUGUUGGGUUAAGUCCCGCAACGAGCGCAACCCCUAUCAUUAGUUGCCAUCAGUUCGGCUGGGCACUCUAAGGGGACUGCCGGCGUUAAGCCGGAGGAAGGUGGGGACGACGUCAAGUCAUCAUGGCCCUUAUGUCCAGGGCUACACACGUGCUACAAUGGGCGGGACAAAGGGUUGCGAACCCGUUAGGGGAAGCCAAUCCCAAAAAGCCGUUCUCAGUUCGGAUUGGAGUCUGCAACUCGGCUCCAUGAAGGCGGAAUCGCUAGUAAUCGCGGAUCAGCAUGCCGCGGUGAAUACGUUCCCGGGCCUUGUACCACACCGCCCGUCAUAUCACCCGAGUCGGGAUACCCGAAGUCCGUGACCCAACCAUUUGGAGGGAGCGGCCGAAG
This 1451-nucleotide ribosomal RNA is filed under the name uncultured prokaryote. RNAcentral's name for it is "partial 16S ribosomal RNA". It matches the Rfam family "Bacterial small subunit ribosomal RNA". The record is from RNAcentral.